This 466-nucleotide ribosomal RNA is filed under the name uncultured bacterium. RNAcentral's name for it is "SSU rRNA". It matches the Rfam family "Bacterial small subunit ribosomal RNA", at positions 26 to 518 of the family's 1533-position model. The record is from RNAcentral.
AGGACUAACGCUGGCGGCGUGCCUAACACAUGCAAGUCGAACGAGAGUAGCAAUACUCUAGUGGCAGACGGGUGAGUAACACGUGGUCAACCUACCUUUAAGUGGGGGAUAACUAGCCGAAAGGUUAGCUAAUACCGCAUACGAUCUUCGCGUGGCAUCACAUGAAGAUGAAAGGAGCAAUCCGCUGAAAGACGGGACCGCGUCCCAUUAGCCAGUUGGUGGGGUAACGGCCUACCAAAGCAACGAUGGGUAGCUGGCUUGAGAGAGCGACCAGCCACACUGGGACUGAGACACGGCCCAGACUCCUACGGGAGGCAGCAGUGAGGAAUUUUCCGCAAUGGGCGAAAGCCUGACGGAGCGACGCCGCGUGUGGGAUGAAGGCCUUCGGGUCGUAACCACUGUCGAAGGGGAAGAUAUUGACGGUACCCUUGGAGGAAGCCCCGGCUAACUACGCGCCAGCAGCCGC